RNAcentral lists this ribosomal RNA (289 nucleotides) under uncultured bacterium. RNAcentral describes it as "partial 16S ribosomal RNA". It matches the Rfam family "Bacterial small subunit ribosomal RNA", at positions 335 to 618 of the family's 1533-position model. The record is from RNAcentral.
ACUCCUACGGGAGGCAGCAGUGGGGAAUAUUGCACAAUGGGGGAAACCCUGUGCAGCCAUGCCGCGUGUGUGAAGAAGGCCCUUCGGGUUGUAAAAGCACUUUCAGUAGGGAGGAAGUAGUGUAGUUAACACCUGCAUUAUUUGACGUACCUACAGAAGAAGCACCGGCUAACUCGUGCCAGAGCCGCGGUAAUACGGGAGGGUGCGAGCGUUAAUCGGAAUUACUGGGCGUAAAGCGCAUGCAGGCGGCCUGUUAAGUCAGAUGUGAAAGCCCGGGGCUUAACCUCGG